GACGAACGCUGGCGGCGUGCUUAACACAUGCAAGUCGAACGGUGAAGCGCUUGCCUUUUUGGUGGGUGUGGAUGAGUGGCGAACGGGUGAGUAACACGUGAGUAACCUGCCCUCUUCUUCUGGAUAACCUCAUGAAAGUGGGGCUAAUACGGGGUAUUCCGGGUCUGUCGCAUGGCGGGUUUGGGAAAGAUUGCGCCUUUGGGUGUUUUCGGUGGGGGAUGGGCUCGCGGCCUAUCAGAUUGUUGGUGGGGUGAUGGCCUACCAAGGCAGUGACGGGUAGCCGGACUGGGAGGAUGGACGGACACGCUGGGACAGAGAGACAGCCCAGACACCAGCGGGAGGCGGCAGUGAGGAAUAUAGAACAGUGGGCGAAAGACUGAUGCAGCGACGCCGCGUGAGGGAUGGAGGCCGUCGGGUUGUGAACCUCUUUCGCCAGUGAAGCAGGCCUGCUCCUGUGUGGGUGGGUUGACGGUAGCUGGAGAAGAAGCGCCGGCUAACUACGUG
This 504-nucleotide ribosomal RNA is filed under the name uncultured bacterium. RNAcentral's name for it is "partial 16S ribosomal RNA". It matches the Rfam family "Bacterial small subunit ribosomal RNA", at positions 28 to 507 of the family's 1533-position model. The record is from RNAcentral.